Molecule: ribosomal RNA, 253 nt
Filed under: uncultured bacterium
Lineage: Bacteria
Description: partial 16S ribosomal RNA
Rfam family: Bacterial small subunit ribosomal RNA
Source: RNAcentral
UACGAAGGGGGCGAGCGUUAUUCGGAAUCACUGGGCGUAAAGCGUGCGUAGGCUGCUUUGCAAGUUGGGAGUGAAAUGCCAGGGCUCAACCUUGGAACUGCUCUCAAAACUGCAAGGCUAGAGUCCGGGAGAGGAUAGCGGAAUUUCCAGUGUAGUAGUGAAAUACGUAGAUAUUGGAAGGAACACCAGUGGCGUAAGCGGCUAUCUGGACCGGUACUGACGCUGAGGCACGAAAGCGUGGGGAGCAAACAGG